GUUCAAUAUUGAUCAUUAUUACAUCAAUUUUGAGCAUGCUCAUCAGACUUGAGCAUCACGUGGAUUGUAAUCAAUAUGCACGUAUGCUACAUGAAUUUCAUUUAAAUAGCAUAAUACCGUGUUUACAGGAGAUGCUAGGUCAUGAUCCAGUAUCAAUUAUUUUCAACACUAGGUUUUUAUUGGAGCAGCACCAACUCUUCGGUUUUAUUUUGAGUCAACAGAUGACGCCACUUUUCACUCUGUUGAGUGAAAAGUAGCAUGUGCGUGAGACGAAAACUGGUGUGCCACAAGUUUCCCUCUCUUGCCGAGACAUCAAAUGGAUUUAUAGAUGAUGGGAAUCAAAGAGCUAGGCUCUGAUUCCCCGAAUAAAUUAUUAAAAUGAUGGGAUCCGAGUCUUCUGGGUGAAAAGUCGGAGCGUUUCCAUGCGGUCAAUCCGGUCGCACCUUGACAGUUACGCUGUCCUAUUGGGCCGACUACUAACCGGACAAGACUUGUUGCGAUCAAAUAAACAACAAUAACAACAACAAAAAAAUGUAAACACGACUAAGAUUCCAUGACUAAUCUGUUUAUGUUAAUUACAAUACUGUGUGACCUAUUUUCAGUGAAUACAACUCUAUUCUAUAUUCUACUAUUUAACCAUUGUUCACUACGUGCCCAAAUACGUCAUAAAAUAAACUUUUUUUCCUUAUCUGUUAAAUUUGAGAUUUUGCUGUUGAAUUCUUGUACAUAACCAUAGUCUGUU
This 742-nucleotide long non-coding RNA is filed under the name Androctonus crassicauda. The record is from RNAcentral. Lineage: Eukaryota; Metazoa; Arthropoda; Arachnida; Scorpiones; Buthidae.